RNAcentral lists this ribosomal RNA (1306 nucleotides) under uncultured bacterium. RNAcentral describes it as "bacterial SSU rRNA". It matches the Rfam family "Bacterial small subunit ribosomal RNA", at positions 28 to 1381 of the family's 1533-position model. The record is from RNAcentral.
AACGUACGCUGGCGGCACGCCUAACACAUGCAAGUCAAACGAAGUAUCAAUACUUAGUGGCAGACGGGUGAGUAACAUGUAGGUAUCUGCCCUUUGGCCUGGAAUAACACGAGGAAACUUGUGCUAAUACCGGAUAAGUCUUUACGGAGAAAGCUUUAUGCACCAUUGGAUGAGCCUGCACUUGAUUAGUUUGUUGGUGGGGUAAUGGCCUACCAAGACUGUGAUCAAUAGCUGAUUUGAGAGGAUGAUCAGCCACAUUGGGACUGAGACACGGCCCAAACUCCUACGGGAGGCAGCAGUGGGGAAUCUUGCACAAUGGAGGAAACUCUGAUGCAGCGAUGCCGCGUGAGUGAAGAAGGCCCUUGGGUUGUAAAGCUCUUUCGUCGGGGAAGAAAAUGACUGUACCCGAAUAAGAAUGUCCGGCUAACUUCGUGCCAGCAGCCGCGGUAAUACGAAGGGACCUAGCGUAGUUCGGAAUUACUGGGCUUAAAGAGUUCGUAGGUGGUUGAAAAAGUUAGUGGUGAAAUCCCAGAGCUUAACUCUGGAACUGCCAUUAAAACUUUUCAGCUAGAGUAUGAUAGAGGAAAGCAGAAUUUCUAGUGUAGAGGUGAAAUUCGUAGAUAUUAGAAAGAAUACCAAUUGCGAAGGCAGCUUUCUGGAUCAUUACUGACACUGAGGAACGAAAGCAUGGGUAGCGAAGAGGAUUAGAUACCCUCGUAGUCCAUGCCGUAAACGAUGUGUGUUAGACGUUGGAAAUUUAUUUUCAGUGUCGCAGGGAAACCGAUAAACACACCGCCUGGGGAGUACGACCGCAAGGUUAAAACUCAAAUGAAUUGACGGGGACCCGCACAAGUAGUGGAGCAUGUGGUUUAAUUCGAAGAUACGCGCAGAACCUUACCAACACUUGACAUGUUCGUCGCGACUCUAAGAGAUUAGAGUUUUCGGUUCGGCCGGACGAAACACAGGUGCUGCAUGGCUGUCGUCAGCUCGUGUCGUGAGAUGUUGGGUUAAGUCCCGCAACGAGCGCAACCCUCACUUUUAGUUGCCAUCAUUAAGUUGGGCACUCUGAAAGAACUGCCAGUGAUAAGCUGGAGGAAGGUGGGGAUGACGUCAAGUCCUCAUGGCCCUUACGUGUUGGGCUACACACGUGCUACAAUGGUAUCUACAACAGGAAGCAAGACUGCGAAGUUAAGCAAAUCCUUAAAAGAUACCUCAGUUCGGAUUGCACUCUGCAACUCGAGUGCAUGAAGCUGGAAUUACUAGUAAUCGUGGAUCAGCGUGCCACGGUGAAUGCGUUCCCGGGUCU